AGCAGUAGCCGCGGGAACACGAAGGGUGCAAGCGUUACUCGGAAUUACUGGGCGUAAAGCGUGCGUAGGUGGUGGUUUAAGUCCGUUGUGAAAGCCCUGGGCUCAACCUGGGAAUUGCAGUGGAUACUGGGUCACUAGAGUGUGGUAGAGGAUAGUGGAAUUUCCGGUGUAGCAGUGAAAUGCGUAGAGAUCGGAAGGAACAUCUGUGGCGAAGGCGACUAUCUGGGCCAACACUGACACUGAGGCACGAAAGCGUGGGGAGCAAACAGGAUUAGAUACCCGAGUAGUCCCUGUCUCUUAUAC
This 303-nucleotide ribosomal RNA is filed under the name uncultured bacterium. RNAcentral describes it as "partial 16S ribosomal RNA". It matches the Rfam family "Bacterial small subunit ribosomal RNA", at positions 507 to 807 of the family's 1533-position model. The record is from RNAcentral.